UACAGAGGUCCCAAGCGUUGUUCGGAUUCACUGGGCGUAAAGGGCGCGUAGGCGGUUGGAUAAGUCAGCUGUGAAAACCACGGGCUUAACUCGUGGCCUGCAGUUGAGACUGUCUGGCUUGAGUGUGGGAGAGGAGAGUGGAAUUCCAGGUGUAGCGGUGAAAUGCGCAGAUAUCGGGAGGAACACCAAUGGCGAAGGCAGCUCGCUGGGACGUUACUGACGCUGAGACGCGAAAGCGUGGGGAGCAAACAGG
RNAcentral lists this ribosomal RNA (253 nucleotides) under uncultured bacterium. RNAcentral describes it as "partial 16S ribosomal RNA". It matches the Rfam family "Bacterial small subunit ribosomal RNA", at positions 524 to 776 of the family's 1533-position model. The record is from RNAcentral.